AGCAGCUGGCCUGUGUCCCUG
Molecule: microRNA, 21 nt
Filed under: Mus musculus (house mouse)
Lineage: Eukaryota; Metazoa; Chordata; Mammalia; Rodentia; Muridae
Description: mmu-miR-12186-3p
Source: miRBase by way of RNAcentral